AGGAUUCUCCUAGUAACGGCGAGUGAACGGAGAUUAGCCCAUCACCGAAGUCCGGUGCUUUUGCAUUCAGGACAAUGUGGUGUUGAAGCUUGUACCUGGGGCUGCGAACCUGCCCGAAGUCCAACUCCGAUUGUGGCUUUGGAUAUUGCCCAUAGCGGGUGUGAGGCCCGUACGGGCAGGUUCUUGUUGUUGAGCAGCCUUCAGAUGUACUUGCUUUCGAGUCGGAUUGCUUGAGAAUGCAGUCCAAAGUGGGUGGUAAACUCCAUCCAAGGCUAAAUACUGGCACGAGUCCGAUAGUAGACAAGUACCGUGAGGGAAAGUUGAAAAGUACUCUGAAGAGAGAGUAAAUAGUACGUGAAACCGGUUGCAGGGAAGCUGGUGGAGUCAAGCUUCAUGCUUGGGAGAUUUGUGGCUGUAGCUUUGUGAUGUGGGCUCUGGACUGGUCAACUUGGAACAAGUUGGGCGCAUUCGUGUGCAUCAAGUCAUUCUGGGUUGUGUGUUUGUAUUGGUCUAGAUGCUUUGCUACAGUUGCUCUAUCUUCCGCUGCAUAAAUCACGGUCGAUAGCAUUGCCCGCGUGCUGUGUGGUUGUCUAACUGUACUUUGGUUGGCUUCGUGCUUGCUGGGUGCAGGAUGGCAGGUGAUGGCUUCGUGCUUUCAGUGCGUUGUCAUUUAUAGUGGUUUUGACCAGCUGAUGGCCACACAGUAUCGCAGCUAUCGUUGUUGNCUAUUGAGUAGUGUACGCACUCUCGGUAGGUUAGAACCGUGAUUCUGAGGUAGA
Molecule: ribosomal RNA, 779 nt
Filed under: Haliotrema sp. ZHDDb
Lineage: Eukaryota; Metazoa; Platyhelminthes; Monogenea; Dactylogyridea; Ancyrocephalidae
Also listed under: 1 other name
Description: eukaryotic LSU rRNA
Rfam family: Eukaryotic large subunit ribosomal RNA
Source: RNAcentral